RNAcentral lists this unclassified non-coding RNA (240 nucleotides) under soil metagenome. RNAcentral describes it as "partial contains 5.8S ribosomal RNA, internal transcribed spacer 2, and large subunit ribosomal RNA". The record is from RNAcentral.
AACCAUAGAAACCUGCGGAGUACCUGCGGAGGGAUCAUUAAAAAGAGUGUGUACCCCCCUGUAAAAUGGGUGGGUUACCUCCCGUCCUUUGUUGACCUCUUAGGAGGUUAUUUUGAACUUUUCUGCUUCGGUGGGGUUAAACCUACCGGAACACCCUCAAAUUCUGAUCAUUUAAAAAUUGUUCAGUCCGAUUUUUGUUAAUAAAAACAAAAAACUUUUAACAAUGGAUCUCAGAUCGGA